This 497-nucleotide ribosomal RNA is filed under the name uncultured bacterium. RNAcentral's name for it is "partial 16S ribosomal RNA". It matches the Rfam family "Bacterial small subunit ribosomal RNA", at positions 28 to 507 of the family's 1533-position model. The record is from RNAcentral.
GAUGAACGCUGGCGGCGUGCCUAAUACAUGCAAGUCGAACGCUCAAGUGAGGAGCUUGCUCUUCUUGGAUGAGUUGCGCACGGGUGAGUAACGCGUAGGUAACCUGCCUUGUAGCGGGGGAUAACUGUUGGAAACGAUAGCUAAUACCGCAUAACAAUGGAUGACACAUGUCUUUUAUUUGAAAGGGGCAAUUGCUCCACUACAAGAAGGGCCUGCGGUGGAUUAGGUAGUAGGUGAGGUAAUGGGUCAACUAAGCCACGAUACAUAGCCGACCUGGGAGGGGGAACGGCCACACUGGGACUGAGACACGGCCCAGACUCCUACGGGAGGCAGCAGUAGGGAAUCUUCCGCAAUGGGGGCAAGCCUGACCGAGCAACGCCGCGUGAGGGAAGAAGGUUUUCGGAUCGUAAAGCUCUGUUGUAAGUGAAGAACGGGUGUGAGAGUGGAAAGUUCACACUGUGACGGUAGCUAACCAGAAAGGGACGGCUAACUACGUG